RNAcentral lists this ribosomal RNA (253 nucleotides) under uncultured bacterium. RNAcentral's name for it is "partial 16S ribosomal RNA". It matches the Rfam family "Bacterial small subunit ribosomal RNA", at positions 524 to 776 of the family's 1533-position model. The record is from RNAcentral.
UACGUAGGGUGCGAGCGUUGUCCGGAAUUAUUGGGCGUAAAGGGCUCGUAGGCGGUUUGUCGCGUCGGGAGUGAAAACCUCGGGCUUAACUCGGGGCUUGCUUUCGAUACGGGCAGACUGGAGGUAUGCAGGGGAGAACGGAAUUCCUGGUGUAGCGGUGAAAUGCGCAGAUAUCAGGAGGAACACCGGUGGCGAAGGCGGUUCUCUGGGCAUGACCUGACGCUGAGGAGCGAAAGUGUGGGGAGCGAACGGG